UAAGGAAUAUUGGGCAAUGGACGCAAGUCUGACCCAGCCAUGCCGCGUGAAGGAUGAAGGUCCUCUGGAUUGUAAACUUCUUUUAUCUGGGGCGAAAAUCGGUUAUUCUUAGCCGCUUGACAGUACCAGAGGAAUAAGCACCGGCUAACUCCGUGCCAGCAGCCGCGGUAAUACGGAGGGUGCAAGCGUUAUCCGGAUUCACUGGGUUUAAAGGGUGCGUAGGUGGGCAGGUAAGUCAGUGGUGAAAUCCCCGAGCUUAACUCGGGAACUGCCGUUGAUACUAUCUGUCUUGAAUAUCGUGGAGGUAAGCGGAAUAUGUCAUGUAGCGGUGAAAUGCUUAGAGAUGACAUAGAACACCAAUUGCGAAGGCAGCUUGCUACACGGUAAUUGACACUGAGGC
This 400-nucleotide ribosomal RNA is filed under the name uncultured bacterium. Its description in RNAcentral is "bacterial SSU rRNA". It matches the Rfam family "Bacterial small subunit ribosomal RNA", at positions 355 to 752 of the family's 1533-position model. The record is from RNAcentral.